This 47-nucleotide small RNA is filed under the name Desulfomonile tiedjei DSM 6799. RNAcentral's name for it is "Acido-Lenti-1 RNA". It matches the Rfam family "Acido-Lenti-1 RNA". The record is from Rfam by way of RNAcentral. Lineage: Bacteria; Pseudomonadati; Thermodesulfobacteriota; Desulfomonilia; Desulfomonilales; Desulfomonilaceae.
CCACGGGUUCGCACCCGUGGCUAUUUAUGUUUCGUCCCUCCGGGACU